Molecule: ribosomal RNA, 261 nt
Filed under: uncultured archaeon
Lineage: Archaea
Description: partial 16S ribosomal RNA
Rfam family: Archaeal small subunit ribosomal RNA
Source: RNAcentral
UGGCCGUAAACGAUGUGGACUUGGUGUACUGGUGACCACGAGUCACCGGGGUGCCGAAGGGAAACCGUGAAACGUGCCGCCUGGGAAGUACGGUCGCAAGGCUGAAACUUAAAGGAAUUGGCGGGGGAGGCACCACAACGGGUGGAGCCUGCGGUUUAAUUGGACUCAACGCCGGAAUCUCACCGGAUAGGACAGACAUAUGAUAGUCGGGCUGAAGACUCUACUUGAUGAUCUGAGAGGAGGUGCAUGGCGUCAGUGACU